Molecule: ribosomal RNA, 477 nt
Filed under: uncultured bacterium
Lineage: Bacteria
Description: partial 16S ribosomal RNA
Rfam family: Bacterial small subunit ribosomal RNA
Source: RNAcentral
AUUGAACGCUGGCGGCAUGCCUUACACAUGCAAGUCGAACGGUAACAGGUUAAGCUGACGAGUGGCGAACGGGCGAGUAAUGUAUCGGAACGUGCCCAGUCGCGGGGGAUAACUGCUCGAAAGAGCAGCUAAUACCGCAUCCGACCCGAGGGUGUAAGUGGGGGAUCGCAAGACCUCGCGCGAUUGCAGCGGCCGAUAUCCGAUUAGGUAGUUGGUGAGGUAAAGGCUCACCAAGCAGACGAUCUGUAGCUGGUCUGAGAGGUCGACCAGCCACACUGGGACUGAGACACGGCCCAGACUCCUACGGGAGGCAGCAGUGGGGAAUUUUGGACAAUGGGCGCAAGCCUGAUCCAGCCAUGCCGCGUGCGGGAAGAAGGCCUUCGGGUUGUAAACCGCUUUUGUCAGGGAAGAAAAGGUUCUGGCGAAAACCUGGGACUCAUGACGGUACCUGAAGAAUAAGCACCGGCUAACUACGUG